CGGCACUGCGCUGCGCGCGGCUCCGCCUGGUGGUAAGGAACGGCCGUGACAGCACCAGCGGAAAGUGGUCUCCCAAGGUGUGCUUGCAGAACCCGUGCUCAAAGAUGUGGAUACUGAGGCUCACCCUCUCAUAGUUCUGCCUUUGCCAGUCUGGAGACUGGUCAGAGACAAAAGAUGUGAUGUAACAAAGAGGCUAUAGGAAAGAGGGCCACUGAAUCUCAAAAGAGGUUAGAAGAGGGAGGCUCAACGAUCUUGACAUUAUUAACUAACGGCAGCACUUGCUGCAUAUCAACACCAAUCCACAGAGACAUCUCAGACAGUACUUGAAGAAAAAGAAAGCUCUUUAAAUGUGAGGAACCAACAGCAGGAUCUCGGCCAUGUUUGCGGUUUGG
This 392-nucleotide long non-coding RNA is filed under the name Ursus maritimus (polar bear). RNAcentral's name for it is "lncRNA (ENSUMAG00000006000.1)". Lineage: Eukaryota; Metazoa; Chordata; Mammalia; Carnivora; Ursidae. The record is from RNAcentral.